UCGUGAGACAGGUUAGUUUUACCCUACUGUAAAUAUUAUUAAGAAAAGUUAUAUAGUACGAGAGGAACAAUAAGUGAUGACCACUGGUGUAGCGAUUAAUUAUUCAAUUAUGUUGCAAAACUACGUCAUGAAUAAUAAAUGCUGAAAGCCUCUUAAGCAUGAAGUUAAUCUUAAUGAUAUACAACUGAGGAAAACUACCUCUUUGAAGAAUGGGACUGUAAGAAUGAAGGUGUAUACCGACAUUUUGAGGUUACCAUUUCGUUUUAUGAUAAUUUACCUUCUCGUGGUAUAAAACGUAUGACAUAGUCCAUGUCAUCUAAAGUAAAAAAGGAUAGAAUGUUUUUGUUGAGAGAUAGGAAAUUAAGUACUUCUCGUCUUACAUACUGUUUUCAUUAUUUCACACUGUUCAUAUUCAUUUAUAUUUUGACCAUUACAUAAAGACAUUCAUUAAUAUUCUAAUUUUCUAUAUAAUAGUAUUAUCGUACAGCACAAUAACAAAGUACUUCCUUUGACACCAGGUUGAUUCUGCCUGACGUAGACGCUAUA
This 546-nucleotide ribosomal RNA is filed under the name Microsporidia sp. Operophtera bruceata OB2. RNAcentral describes it as "eukaryotic LSU rRNA". The stretch from base 1 to 278 matches the Rfam family "Archaeal large subunit ribosomal RNA", at positions 2688 to 2987 of the family's 2987-position model. The record is from RNAcentral. Lineage: Eukaryota; Fungi; Microsporidia.